GGGGGUGCUGCUGGUGCAGAACCCGAUCCACGAAAUUGGGUUUGUGGGUUCAAUUCCCAUCACCUCCA
This 68-nucleotide transfer RNA is filed under the name Candidatus Woesebacteria bacterium. RNAcentral describes it as "tRNA-OTHER". Lineage: Bacteria; Candidatus Woeseibacteriota. The record is from RNAcentral.